GCUUAGCCCUAAACAUAGACACUCAAUUAACAAGACUGUUCGCCAGAGGACUACUAGCUACUGCUUAAAACUCAAAGGACUUGGCGGUGCUUUACAUCCCUCUAGAGGAGCCUGUUCUAUAAUCGAUAAACCCCGUUAAACCUCACCACUCUUUGCAAUAUCAGCCUAUAUACCGCCAUCUUCAGCAAACCCUAACAAGGCACUAUAGUAAGCACAAUAAUUUUACAUAAAAACGUUAGGUCAAGGUGUAGCCUAUAGAGUGGAAAGAAAUGGGCUACAUUUUCUAAUUUCCUAGAAUAUACACGAUAGCAAUCAUGAAAUAUGAUUAAGCCCAAGGCGGAUUUAGUAGUAAGUUAGGAAUAGAGUGCCUAACUGAACUGGGCAAUAAAGC
Molecule: ribosomal RNA, 391 nt
Filed under: Sciurus vulgaris (Eurasian red squirrel)
Lineage: Eukaryota; Metazoa; Chordata; Mammalia; Rodentia; Sciuridae
Description: 12S ribosomal RNA
Rfam family: Bacterial small subunit ribosomal RNA
Source: RNAcentral